CCCCCUAGUAACUGCGAGUGAAGCGGGAAAAGCUCAAAUUUAAAAUCUGGCAGUCUUUGAUUGUCCGAGUUGUAAUCUAGAGAAGUGUUAUCCGCGCUGGACCGUGUACAAGUCUCCUGGAAUGGAGCGUCAUAGAGGGUGAGAAUCCCGUCUUUGACACGGACUACCAGGGCUUUGUGAUGCGCUCUCAAAGAGUCGAGUUGUUUGGGAAUGCAGCUCAAAAUGGGUGGUAAAUUCCAUCUAAAGCUAAAUAUUGGCGAGAGACCGAUAGCGAACAAGUACCGUGAGGGAAAGAUGAAAAGAACUUUGGAAAGAGAGUUAAACAGUACGUGAAAUUGCUGAAAGGGAAACGCUUGAAGUCAGUCGCGUUGUCCAGGGAUCAACCUUGCUUUUGCUUGGUGCACUUUCUGGUUGACGGGUCAGCAUCAAUUUUGACUAUUGGAAAAAGAUUAGGGGAAUGUGGCAUCUUUGGAUGUGUUAUAGCCCUUGGUUGUAUACAAUAGUUGGGAUUGAGGAACUCAGCACGCCGCAAGGCCAGGUUUUUAACCAUGUACGUGCUUAGGAUGCUGGCAUAAUGGCUUUAAUCGACCCGUCUUGAAACACGGACCAAGGAGUCUAACAUGUCUGCGAGUGUUUGGGUGGAAAACCCGAGCGCGUAAUGAAAGUGAAAGUUGAGAUCCCUGUCGUGGGGAGCAUCGACGCCCGGACCAGACCUUUUGUGACGGUUCCGCGGUAGAGCAUGUAUGUUGGGACCCGAAAGAUGGUGAACUAUGCCUGAAUAGGGUGAAGCCAGAGGAAACUCUGGUGGAGGCUCGUAGCGAUUCUGACGUGCAAAUCGAUCGUCAAAUUUGGGUAUAGGGGCGAAAGACUAAUCGAACCAUCUAGUAGCUGGUUCCUGCC
This 900-nucleotide ribosomal RNA is filed under the name Cortinarius ophryx. Its description in RNAcentral is "partial large subunit ribosomal RNA". It matches the Rfam family "Eukaryotic large subunit ribosomal RNA", at positions 76 to 962 of the family's 3401-position model. Lineage: Eukaryota; Fungi; Basidiomycota; Agaricomycetes; Agaricales; Cortinariaceae. The record is from RNAcentral.